UUUACACAUAUGGGAUCAUGUAAGUACUGACUUGUUCCACUUUAAUCUAACAGCAAAAUGUGUAAAAGCUAUAAAAGUGCAACACUGUGUCUUUACAUUAAACCCUGAAAACCUGUGCAGCAUUUUGAAAGCAGAAAAUUGUUUCCUCAACCUCAACAUUUUACUGUGAGACUGGAAUCUUCAUUUCUAACUUCUAAUCUGAUUUUUCCCACUAUUGCAAGUCAAAUUUGAAUAACCCUAACACUUGAUGACACUUUAUUAGUGAAAACAAGGGAUGGUAAAAGUUGAUUAAAAGUUGAUUUUGAAAUGUUCUGAUGUCUAUAUUUUAUUUAUGUGUUCAUAUUAUGUUACCAUUAUGUGAACAUAUGUUACUUUUUCUUUAGCAACUUUUAGUAAGCCAUGGAGGCCUUUUCCAGAGUGAGUAUGAUGGAUAUACAGUUAUUCAUUUAGUUGUUCCUUUAGUGCGCCUCUACUCCUUUACAUGAUUUAUGUGGUUUGCUGCAUUAACUAACUGGUGUGUGUAACAGCAUAGCAUCAGUCACAAUGUUGUGCAUAUAUUAUAAAAAAAAAAAAAAUCAAAUAUUAGAAAAUAAAAGUCAGGCAGUAUUUUCACAUGUGUUUGUUUUUCAUUGAUACAGGAAUAAUGAGGACAUCCUGGAAUUUCUGAAGAAAUAUAGACCUCAAAAUCAGGAAGCAAAUCAUCUCAGAAUUUUGUUUUUUGGACCAGAUGGUGCAGGAAAAUCAAGCUUCAUCAACUCUGUUGACAGUGUUUUGCAAGGUAGAGUUACUGGUCGAGAUUUGGCAGAUGCAAUCUCUGGAAAAAGUUUCACUCGAGAGUACAAAAGUUACAAAUUCUCCGAAGGCAGUCAAGGUCAUUACUCGUUUGUUUGCAACAACAUCAUGGGCAUGGAGCAAAAGGAUGGUGGCGUUCAUGUGGACGACAUCAAACUUGCCCUGAGGGGACAUGUUACAGAUGGUUACGAGGUACACUGUUCUGAACUUUAAUAUCAAAUCAAAUCAAAUCAGUUUUUCUGUUAUUGUCACAUCCCAUGUGCUGGUACACUGGUACAGCACAUGUGAGUGAAAUUCUUGUGUGCAAGCUUCAUAAGCAACAGAGGUUUGCAAAAUACAAGAAACAUAAGAACAAGGAAAAUAUAAAAAUGGGAAUAUAAGAAUUAUAAGAAUAAAUAUAUGUACAAAUAUAAGAAUGUAUGCACAUUACUGAAUAUGUAUACCAAAUAUACUGUUGUGUU
Oreochromis aureus is the source of this 1253-nucleotide long non-coding RNA. The record is from Ensembl. NCBI's taxonomy places the organism in Eukaryota, Metazoa, Chordata, Actinopteri, Cichliformes, Cichlidae.